AAAAAUCAAAAUUCUUUAAAAAAACUCUUAAAAAGAAUCUCUAAGGAAUACAAUUCGCAGCCACUGCUCCUAAUCGUCACUGCAAACGUCACCUUUCCUUCUACUUAUAUUAUUUAAGGAAGCAUUCCCGUGUACGCAGGUGCUUGUAGUUAGUCUUACUAGUAGCUUGAGCAAACAAAACCAUUUGCUGAUCACUCCAUCUAGUCAAACUCACCAGACUCCAGUCUUCCGCCGCCACAGAAGCAAUCACCAUGGCGGUGCAACCUCACUUCCUUCUGUUAACCUAUCCCGCACAAGGCCACAUAAAUCCUGCCCUCCAAUUCGCCAAGGGUCUGACACGUAUUGGUGCUCUCGUCACCCUUGUUACCUCUCUCUCUGCCGGCCGCCGCAUGUCCAAAACUUUGUUUCCUGACGGUUUGUCAUUCGUUACCUUUUCAGAUGGAUAUGACGACGGGUUUAAACCUGAAGAUGACAGAGAUCAUUUCACGUCUGAGCUCAAACGUCGAGGCUCACAGACUCUCAAUGAGCUUAUCGUAGAUAGUGCAAAAGAAGGAAAGCCCGUCACUUGUUUGGUUUACACGAUGCUUCUACAUUGGGCAUCUGAGGUGGCACGCGCACAGCAUCUCCCAGCAGCACUUCUUUGGAUCCAGCCUGCAACUGUCUUUGACAUCUAUUACUAUUACUUCAAUGGUUAUGGUGAUAUCUUCAAUAAUUGCAAGGACACUUCGUAUGCUAUUGAAUUACCAGGGCUCCCACCACUUGCUAGCCGUGACCUUCCCUCGUUUGUACUUCCUUCAAAUACUUAUACUUUUGCACUCCAGAUGUUUCAAGAGCAGCUGGAGCAGCUCAGCCAAGAAACCAACCCAAAAGUGCUUGUCAACUCUUUCGAUGCAUUGGAAUUGGGAGCUAUGAAUGCCACUGAAAAGUUCAACUUGAUUGGAAUCGGGCCAUUGAUCCCAUCUGCUUUCUUGGAUGGAAAAGAUCCGUUGGAUAAAUCCUUUGGAGGGGAUAUUUUCCACGGCUCCGAGGAUUACACUGAAUGGUUGAACUCAAAGACUAAAUCAUCAGUUGUUUAUGUAUCUUUUGGGAGCAUUUUGGUGUUAUCGAAGCGACAAAUUGAGGAGAUUGCUCGUGGAUUGGUAGAUAGUGGUCUUACAUUCCUGUGGGUCAUAAGGGAUGAACAGAAGAAGAACGAAGUGAAAGAAGAAGAAGAAGAAGAAGAAGAGGAUCAUCUGAGGGCCUGUAGAGAGGCGAUAUUGGAAAGGCAAGGGAUGAUAGUGCCAUGGUGUUGUCAAGUGGAGGUUUUGUCCCAUCCUUCGAUAGGAUGUUUUGUGACACACUGUGGGUGGAACUCAACUCUGGAGAGCUUGGUUUGUGAGGUUCCAGUUGUGGCAUUUCCUCACUGGACAGAUCAAGGAACAAAUGCCAAGCUGAUUGCAGACGUGUGGAAGACAGGAGUGAGGGUGGUGGCUAACGAAGAAGGGAUAGUCGAAGGCGAUGAGAUUAAGAGGUGCUUGGAUCUGGUUAUGGCACAUGGAAAGACGGGAGAAGACAUCAGAAAGAACGCCAAGAAAUGGAAAGAUCUAGCAAGAGAUGCUGUCAAGGAAGGAGGUUCCUCGGAUAAGAAUCUAAAGGCUUUUGUGCAGGAUGUUGGCGAGGGCUGUUUCUAGCUUGCCAGUGCCCUUCAGGCCACCAUAAGCACCAUCUUGGAUGGGUCCUUUCUAAUUCUGCUGCCAUCAAUUCGAUGAUUACGUCGUGAAUUUGAGAUGAUGUGAUUGUUUUGAGACAGACAAAAAACAGUUGUAAGAAAGAGAUACGUCUCUUAUGUCUUAAACAAUAAAAAUUCACUUGUUUUAAUAAUCUUUUUUUUUUGUUUUUAUUUAUUUAUUAUUCUUCAACUAACAUUUAUUUUUAUUAUUUCUGUAUUUAUCCAUUCUAUUUUAAAAUAUUAAUCAAACACAGCCCAUUAAUUAAAGAACAAAGUACGAGGCAUAGAGUUAACGAAGUCUCUCUUUUGAAUAAAACAAUCGGAGGUGUUGAAAACAGUCGUCUAUCUAUGAUAUUUGUAUUACAUGAUAUAUUUAUGCUAUCUAACAUAACUUAGGAUAAUAUAUAUAUUGUAAGUCGUUGCGAGUCAAAAUUUUUAAAACACGAUUAAGACAGCCUUACUUAUAUAAUUUAUAUUUUUUUAUCUUUAUAUUUAAUAAUUCAUAAAUUAAGUAUUUAUUUUUAUUUUAUUUAAAAAUAUCUCAAGUUCAAAGUUUUAUUAGAAGGUUUCUAUUAAAUUUCUUUUCCAUAAUAAAAUUUUUGUUUAUUUUCUAGAGAGAAAGGAAGAUAAGUACUAUGAUAUAAAAUAUAAAAAUCAUGAUUCAUCAUUCAAGUAGUUGUUAAACAUGGUUAGGUAUAAUGGAUUCAUCUUGAAAAAUCAAGGUUUGAAACCUGAACAAAGUGGUGGUUCUAGUUAAAUCAACCCAAACAUUAACUUAAUGAAAUAAGGCUGAUGUGUCUAGUUUUUAAUAAUCUAUUUGACCAUAUCAAACCUGAUCAAGUCAAUAUUAAUAUUUAAAAAACUUAUUUUUUAAUUUUUUUUAAUAAAAAUAAUUAACCUGAGUUAAUCUUUUAUGCAAUAUGAUAUUGAUAUGUAUUAAUUCUCUAGCAUAAUACUACUUUAUUACACACACUUUCACCGUGGGUUGGAUAAAAAAUAAUAUUUAGACCAUAAGAACUUUUUUAGCGUGGUUAUUAAAUUCAGUACAAUGGUUCCAACGUAAAAAUCAUUAACCCAAUUGUUUGCUAAGCUCGGAUUUUAAAUUAAAUCUCGUGGAGUUUACCAUGAUAUGACCUUGUCAGCUGAGAAAGUCCAAAUGAAAAAUAUCAAGGAAAAGAAAAGAAAUAAGUUGGGCUACCUCUAGUCAGCCAGUCAAACCUGCGAAUUAGGUUACAAACUUCACUAAGUUGAAUUAUUAUUAUUUAUUUUAUUAUAUGAUAAAAGUACAAAAAUUAAUUUACCAUCAACCCAAUACUUAAGAAUAAGAUUAAAUAAAAAUUCUAUAUUAAAUAAUAGAAUAGAAAAAAAAAUUACGAAAAGGGGGAAAAAACAAAGAAAAAAACAAUAAAAAAUCCCAUAUUAGAGGAUUAAGUUGGAAAAAAAAUCCAAAAGAUUAAAAAAUAAAAGAGUUUAAAAAAGCCAAAUGACCAAUAAAAAAAAGCUUUAGCGGCUUAACAUAACAAAACCAAGGCUCAUGGGUCUAAAAAAAACUCGUAAGUCUAGGCUACUUUUUUUAAAAAAAUAAAAGAUAAAUGACAGGUUAUCUAUUUUUUUUAAAAAAAAAAAAAUCAUACGACUUUUGAAAACAAACAUUGUGACCAAUCUCAAACCCGCGACCUUAUUUUCACUCGGCUAGUGUGAACCAACUAAACUACAACACAAUUUGUUAUAAAACAACUAAAUACCAUAUUGGGUUAAUUAAUUAUUCAUAACAUGAACACAGUUAAAUUGAACCCAUGUAUUUUUUAGUUGUAUUGAUAAUGCAAAUAGGAAAAUAAUUGUAGAAUAAUAGUUUUAAAUUCAUGAAUUGCAUUUCAACAACAACUCAUUCUUACUAUUACUAAUGAUUUUGAAUGCACCCAUCAAUUUGUUUUUUUUAUAUCCUCAAAUUCGAAGAAACAUUGAUUAAAUAAAUCAAAGAAACAAGAAGAAACAAACAAGCAUAGCACUAAUCUAAUUGAUGAUUCCUUAUAUUCAUGUUUUAAUUUUUUUUAAUGUUAAUAUUAAUAUCCGUGUGUGUUGUAUGGGCGCUGGUUAUUUGGUUUCUACUUCAAUACAAGCCACAAAGUACACAUCAACAAGUCUAUUAUUAUAACAAUUAACUAAUCUACGAGCCUCUUAUCAUAACCCAUUAUUUUAUGCAAAAUCAUCCCCAAUAUUCAAAAGUGUUAAUAAAAAUACAAAAGAAUAAUAAUAAUAAAUAAAUAAAUAUCAAUCGUGACAGAACGCAUCUGAGCUUGCAGUAUCAUCCUUUUUAAAUUUAGCUCCUCACACAUAGCGACGUAAACAUGUUACAUCAGGAUUAAAACAGGUUUGUUUUUAAUAUUUUGUAUUUAAAAAUAUAUUUAAAAAAUAUUUUUAUUAAAUUUUAAAAUUUAUUUUUCAUAUUAAUACAUUAAAACAAUUUAAAAAUAAUUAAAAAUAAUUAAAAAUUAAAAAAAUCAAAAUUCUUUAAAAAAACUCUUAAAAAGAAUCUCUAAGGAAUACAAUUCGCAGCCACUGCUCCUAAUCGUCACUGCAAACGUCACCUUUCCUUCUACUUAUAUUAUUUAAGGAAGCAUUCCCGUGUACGCAGGUGCGCCUUUUCCCUCGUAAUUUCUGGCUAGAGCAAACAAAACCAUUUGCUGAUCACUCCAUCUAGUCAAACUCACCACCCCAGUCUUCCGCCGCCACAGAAGCAAUCACCAUGGCGGUGCAACCUCACUUCCUUCUGUUAACCUAUCCCGCACAAGGCCACAUAAAUCCUGCCCUCCAAUUCGCCAAGGGUCUGACACGUAUUGGUGCUCUCGUCACCCUUGUUACCUCUCUCUCUGCCGGCCGCCGCAUGUCCAAAACUUUGUUUCCUGACGGUUUGUCAUUCGUUACCUUUUCAGAUGGAUAUGACGACGGGCUUAAACCUGAAGAUGACAGAGAACAUUUCAAGUCUGAGCUCAAACGUCGAGGCUCACAGACUCUCAAUGAGCUUAUCGUAGAUAGUGCAAAAGAAGGAAAGCCCGUCACUUGUUUGGUUUACACGAUGUUUCUACAUUGGGCAGCUGAGGUGGCAC
Molecule: long non-coding RNA, 4815 nt
Filed under: Populus trichocarpa (black cottonwood)
Lineage: Eukaryota; Viridiplantae; Streptophyta; Magnoliopsida; Malpighiales; Salicaceae
Description: long non-coding RNA (PTRI_LNC000768)
Source: RNAcentral